Molecule: ribosomal RNA, 1700 nt
Filed under: Campylobacter coli
Lineage: Bacteria; Pseudomonadati; Campylobacterota; Epsilonproteobacteria; Campylobacterales; Campylobacteraceae
Description: partial 23S ribosomal RNA
Rfam family: Bacterial large subunit ribosomal RNA
Source: RNAcentral
AUUUGCGCCGAAGGUAUACCGGUAAGGAGUGCUGGAGCGAAUAGAAGUGAGCAUGCAGGCAUGAGUAGCGAUAAUUAAUGUGAGAAUCAUUAACGCCGUAAACCCAAGGUUUCCUACGCGAUGCUCGUCAUCGUAGGGUUAGUCGGGUCCUAAGUCGAGUCCGAAAGGGGUAGACGAUGGCAAAUUGGUUAAUAUUCCAAUACCAACAUUAGUGUGCGAUGGAAGGACGCUUAGGGCUAAGGGGGCUAGCGGAUGGAAGUGCUAGUCUAAGGUCGUAGGAGGUUAUACAGGCAAAUCCGUAUAACAUACUCCGAGAACUGAAAGGCUUUUUGAAGUCUUCGGAUGGAUAGAAGAACCCCUGAUGCCGUCGAGCCAAGAAAAGUUUCUAAGUUUAGCUAAUGUUGCCCGUACCGUAAACCGACACAGGUGGGUGGGAUGAGUAUUCUAAGGCGCGUGGAAGAACUCUCUUUAAGGAACUCUGCAAAAUAGCACCGUAUCUUCGGUAUAAGGUGUGGUUCGCUUCGUAUUAGGAUUUACUCCGAAAGCGAAGAAACUUACAACAAAGAGUCCCUCCCGACUGUUUACCAAAAACACAGCACUCUGCUAACUCGUAAGAGGAUGUAUAGGGUGUGACGCCUGCCCGGUGCUCGAAGGUUAAUUGAUGGGGUUAGCAUUAGCGAAGCUCUUGAUCGAAGCCCGAGUAAACGGCGGCCGUAACUAUAACGGUCCUAAGGUAGCGAAAUUCCUUGUCGGUUAAAUACCGACCUGCAUGAAUGGCGUAACGAGAUGGGAGCUGUCUCAAAGAGGGAUCCAGUGAAAUUGUAGUGGAGGUGAAAAUUCCUCCUACCCGCGGCAAGACGGAAAGACCCCGUGGACCUUUACUACAGCUUGACACUGCUAUUUGGAUAAGAAUGUGCAGGAUAGGUGGGAGGCUUUGAGUAUAUGACGCCAGUUGUAUAUGAGCCAUUGUUGAGAUACCACUCUUUCUUAUUUGGGUAGCUAACCAGCUUGAGUUAUCCUCAAGUGGGACAAUGUCUGGUGGGUAGUUUGACUGGGGCGGUCGCCUCCCAAAUAAUAACGGAGGCUUACAAAGGUUGGCUCAGAACGGUUGGAAAUCGUUCGUAGAGUAUAAAGGUAUAAGCCAGCUUAACUGCAAGACAUACAAGUCAAGCAGAGACGAAAGUCGGUCUUAGUGAUCCGGUGGUUCUGUGUGGAAGGGCCAUCGCUCAAAGGAUAAAAGGUACCCCGGGGAUAACAGGCUGAUCUCCCCCAAGAGCUCACAUCGACGGGGAGGUUUGGCACCUCGAUGUCGGCUCAUCGCAUCCUGGGGCUGGAGCAGGUCCCAAGGGUAUGGCUGUUCGCCAUUUAAAGCGGUACGCGAGCUGGGUUCAGAACGUCGUGAGACAGUUCGGUCCCUAUCUGCCGUGGGCGUAAGAAGAUUGAAGAGAUUUGACCCUAGUACGAGAGGACCGGGUUGAACAAACCACUGGUGUAGCUGUUGUUCUGCCAAGAGCAUCGCAGCGUAGCUAAGUUUGGAAAGGAUAAACGCUGAAAGCAUCUAAGCGUGAAGCCAACUCUAAGAUGAAUCUUCUCUAAGCUCUCUAGAAGACUACUAGUUUGAUAGGCUGGGUGUGUAAUGGAUGAAAGUCCUUUAGCUGACCAGUACUAAUAGAGCGUUUGGCUUAUCUUUAAUAAAGCAU